RNAcentral lists this ribosomal RNA (41 nucleotides) under Pisolithus orientalis. RNAcentral describes it as "28S ribosomal RNA". Lineage: Eukaryota; Fungi; Basidiomycota; Agaricomycetes; Boletales; Pisolithaceae. The record is from RNAcentral.
CAAAUCAGGUAGGGCUACCCGCUGAACUUAAGCAUAUCAUA